This 81-nucleotide microRNA precursor is filed under the name Echinops telfairi (small Madagascar hedgehog). RNAcentral describes it as "Ete-Mir-448_pre stem-loop". The record is from RNAcentral. Lineage: Eukaryota; Metazoa; Chordata; Mammalia; Afrosoricida; Tenrecidae.
UGAACAUCCUGCAUAGUGCUGCCAGGAAACCCCUAUUUCAUAAUAAGAGGGGGCAGGCUGGUUGCAUAUGUAGGAUGUCCC